Molecule: ribosomal RNA, 465 nt
Filed under: Vreelandella stevensii
Lineage: Bacteria; Pseudomonadati; Pseudomonadota; Gammaproteobacteria; Oceanospirillales; Halomonadaceae
Description: partial 16S ribosomal RNA
Rfam family: Bacterial small subunit ribosomal RNA
Source: RNAcentral
CCUACGGGCGGCAGCAGUGGGGAAUAUUGGACAAUGGGGGGAACCCUGAUCCAGCCAUGCCGCGUGUGUGAAGAAGGCCCUCGGGUUGUAAAGCACUUUCAGUGAGGAAGAACGCCUGGUGGUUAAUACCCAUCAGGAAAGACAUCACUCACAGAAGAAGCACCGGCUAACUCCGUGCCAGCAGCCGCGGUAAUACGGAGGGUGCGAGCGUUAAUCGGAAUUACUGGGCGUAAAGCGCGCGUAGGUGGCUUGAUAAGCCGGUUGUGAAAGCCCCGGGCUCAACCUGGGAACGACAUCCGGAACUGUCAAGCUAGAGUGCAGGAGAGGAAGGUAGAAUUCCCGGUGUAGCGGUGAAAUGCGUAGAGAUCGGGAGGAAUACCAGUGGCGAAGGCGGCCUUCUGGACUGACACUGACACUGAGGUGCGAAAGCGUGGGUAGCAAACAGGAUUAGAUACCCUUGUAGUC